GGGGGCGAUUGGCUUCGACAGAGCAUGAGAAUCGUCUUGUGGCAUGUGCAGGACCCGGGUCACCUGCUGAAUCUUCCCGGACAUAACACAGAUGCCAACUACGGCAACGUAGCUUACGCUUAAUAUCGUGUAAGCCGUUCCCUCUGAUAUUCGCCUGUCGUGUCAGAAUGGAACGUCAUAUAGAUGGGCUGGUCAUAGCGGAUGUCCGUACCGUUAAGAUGAGAACUUUCGGACUGGCUUCGGAUGAUGGUCGUUUGCCACCCUCACCGGAGCGAGACACAAAAGUCAAACUAAACAUGUAGAGAUGGGAUGGCUCUUUGCUUUGGACGGGAGUUCGACUCUCCCCGCCUCCACCC
RNAcentral lists this transfer-messenger RNA (356 nucleotides) under Thermoplasmatota archaeon. RNAcentral describes it as "Candidatus Thermoplasmatota archaeon transfer-messenger RNA". It matches the Rfam family "transfer-messenger RNA". From Rfam's summary of the family: Bacterial tmRNA, also known as 10Sa RNA or SsrA, is named for its dual tRNA and mRNA-like properties. Its role is to liberate the mRNA from a stalled ribosome. To accomplish this part of the tmRNA is used as a reading frame that ends in a translation stop signal. The record is from RNAcentral. Lineage: Archaea; Methanobacteriati; Thermoplasmatota.